RNAcentral lists this long non-coding RNA (201 nucleotides) under Elaeis guineensis (African oil palm). RNAcentral's name for it is "long non-coding RNA (EGUI_LNC071466)". Lineage: Eukaryota; Viridiplantae; Streptophyta; Magnoliopsida; Arecales; Arecaceae. The record is from RNAcentral.
UUGGGUUGAUCGAGCAAUCCUCAGACCUGAUCAUUCAUUAGUUAGAAUUACUAAGUAGGUUUAUAUUAAUGGUUUGACCUAACCAAAACUUUCAGUGGAGGUCUAUCACCUACUGAAAUGAAAUCUGGGGCUAAAUUAAUUACUAAAAAUUAUUUGGAAAAAUAAUUGGUUAAGAACCUACCCAUAGAUGCAUAUGUUGUG